CCUACGGGUGGCAGCAGUGAGGAAUAUUGGUCAAUGGUCGGGAGACUGAACUAGCCAAGCCGCGUGAGGGAUGAAGGUACAGAGUAUCGUAAACCUUUUUUGUCAGGGAACAAAGGCGGGGACGUGUCCCCGGAUGAGCGUACCUGAAGAAAAAGCAUCGGCUAACUCCGUGCCAGCAGCCGCGGUAAUACGGAGGAUGCGAGCGUUAUCCGGAUUGAUUGGGUUUAAAGGGCGUGCAGCCGGAGAGGUAAGUCAGAUGUGAAAUCCACGGGCUCAACCCGUGAACUGCAUUUGAAACUGUUUCCCUUGAGUGUCGGAGAGGUAAUCGGAAUUCCUUGUGUAGCGGUGAAAUGCGUAGAUAUAAGGAAGAACACCAGUGGCGAAGGCGGAUUACUGGACGAUAACUGACGGUGAGGCGCGAAAGCGUGGGGAGCAAACAGGAUUAGAUACCCCAGUAGUC
This 460-nucleotide ribosomal RNA is filed under the name uncultured bacterium. RNAcentral's name for it is "partial 16S ribosomal RNA". It matches the Rfam family "Bacterial small subunit ribosomal RNA", at positions 338 to 795 of the family's 1533-position model. The record is from RNAcentral.